Molecule: ribosomal RNA, 253 nt
Filed under: uncultured bacterium
Lineage: Bacteria
Description: partial 16S ribosomal RNA
Rfam family: Bacterial small subunit ribosomal RNA
Source: RNAcentral
UACAGAGGGGGCAAGCGUUGUUCGGAAUUACUGGGCGUAAAGGGCGCGUAGGCGGCCUGUUAAGUCGAACGUGAAAUCCCCGGGCUCAACCCGGGAACUGCGUCCGAUACUGGCAGGCUUGAAUCCGGGAGAGGGAUGUGGAAUUCCAGGUGUAGCGGUGAAAUGCGUAGAUAUCAAGCGGAACACCGGUGGCGAAGGCGGCCUUCUGGACAGUGACUGACGCUGAGACGCGAAAGCGUGGGGAGCAAACAGG